UCACUCAUAUCGGAUGACCAUAGUUCCCAUUCCGUUAAAAUUUGUACGAUUCGUGGCUGUCCAACCUUAUCCUCAAGGAGGGAAUUCGAAUUUCGAAUCAGCCUAGUCUCCCUCUAUAUAAACUCUCUUCUUUUCAGUGUAGAGGGUUGGACGGAAAAAUGUUGGAGAAAAUAUUGAAACUUAACUAGCAUUAGAGAGGAAGAAACACACUUAAACCAUAUAGUUCUUGAAAGCAUAGAGAAAUCGGAAAUUCCGAUUUCGUUCAGUCUUUGCUCUAGUUUGUUUUGUUUGUUCGUCCAAGUUCUCGGAAUCGUACCUUAGUGGUGGUUAAGUCAUUUCAAGCUCGUUGUCCCACGUCUCUGCUCCAAAAGAGGUAUAUUUCGUCAUUUCAUUCUUGAAUCGUAUUUUGUGCUUUGGUUUUAAGUCCAUUAUCUAGCUGCUGAUAUGGCUCAAUGCUUUGUUUCUGGUUUUUAGUGUGGUUGUAUUAGUUCUCAAUAGAUAUACAUUGUUUUCUUCCGUUUGUUUGGAUUCAAAAUGAUUUGAAUGUGUAUGUAUGGAGGCUGGAGGACUGAUGUUUGACUACUUUGCUACCGAUUGCUGCUUGUAUUUCUCCUCUGCCUUAACUUGACUUUCAAAGUGAUGUCUUUAUAGCUUGGGUUUGAAUUCAGUUCAAAGCUUAUCCAUUUAGAUAGUAGCAUUUAGUGUUGUCUAAGUCCGUUUCCAGAUGACUUGUUUCUGAUCACCUGCUUAAGAUUUUAGUCUAUUUCAAGUCCUUGUUUUCCUUUAGGUUACUGCUUACUCUACUUUGUUAAAUUUCUUACCUUAAUUUCUCCAAGUUACGUGUGUGAUUUUAAUAUUAGCAAAAUAUGAGGCAAAUUUGUGCUUCCUCUUCAGUUAAGUGUAUUGAGUGUUACUUAUUCCCUUUUCCAAAUCUAGUCUUGUUUUAGGUAUCAUGUGUUCUUCAUUAAAUUUGUUGAAUUCAUCAUGGAUUGUUUUACUAUUUGUUGAUCGAUUUCGUAAAUAUUAAUUUGACCUGGUUAGCUUAAGAAAGAAUAAUACUAAGCCAUUUUCUUCUUUUCUUUUACUAUGCAUGAACUUGGCCCGAGUCUUCAUGGACUCCUCAUCCCUCAUUUGCGUUAUUGAGUUUUCAAGUCUACCCCUACUGGUUGUAAGCUGAUGCGCACAAGAAAGAAGGGAACAAAAUACAGGUGUCAAAAGCGAAAACAGGCUGAUAUGCGAUCUGUAUACACUCGGUAUACAUCGAUAUACAGGGAAAAUGCUGAAAUACUAGGCCCAAAAUUGAAUUACAUGUUUCAGAGGCUAAAAGGUGGUCGUAUACAACUGUAUACAAUCAAUAUACACGUGGUAUACGCCUGAUAUACAGGGAAAAACAACCAAUAUACACUGAUAUACAGAAAUUGUAUAUAACUGAUACAGGGACGGAAAUGAGCCCAAAACAGAGUGUAGCAGCAGCAGAUGUUCAAUAGAACAAGUUUGUGGGCUCAAUUUGUUUGGGCAGAAAUUGGGCCACUAGCCCAAAUUAUUCUUAAUUCAUUUGAUUGUGAUUACUUCUUGUUUAUUUUGUAUUAAUUCUAGCUUUGUGUGGUUUAAAUUUAAUUAAAUUCCCUAAAGAUGAACCACUUUUGAUUAUGAUAAUUCAUUUAAUUAGUUUUCUU
This 1676-nucleotide long non-coding RNA is filed under the name Solanum tuberosum (potato). RNAcentral describes it as "long non-coding RNA (STUB_LNC004400)". Lineage: Eukaryota; Viridiplantae; Streptophyta; Magnoliopsida; Solanales; Solanaceae. The record is from RNAcentral.